Molecule: ribosomal RNA, 493 nt
Filed under: uncultured bacterium
Lineage: Bacteria
Description: partial 16S ribosomal RNA
Rfam family: Bacterial small subunit ribosomal RNA
Source: RNAcentral
AUUGAACGCUGGCGGCAUGCUUUACACAUGCAAGUCGAACGGUAACAGGUUAAGCUGACGAGUGGCGAACGGGUGAGUAAUGCAUCGGAACGUGCCCGAUCGUGGGGGAUAACGCAGCGAAAGCUGCGCUAAUACCGCAUACGAUCUGAGGAUGAAAGCGGGGGACCGUAAGGCCUCGCGCGAUCGGAGCGGCCGAUGUCAGAUUAGGGAGUUGGUGGGGUAAAGGCCCACCAAGCCGACGAUCUGUAGCUGGUCUGAGAGGACGACCAGCCACACUGGGACUGAGACACGGCCCAGACUCCUACGGGAGGCGGCAGUGGGGAAUUUUGGACAAUGGGCGAAAGCCUGAUCCAGCAAUGCCGCGUGCAGGAAGAAGGCCUUCGGGUUGUAAACUGCUUUUGUACGGAGCGAAAAGGUCCUUUCUAAUACAAGGGGCUCAUGACGGUACCGUAAGAAUAAGCACCGGCUAACUACGUGCCAGCCGCCGCAGUAA